UAACCAGGUCCACAUCUGCAUU
This 22-nucleotide microRNA is filed under the name Caenorhabditis briggsae. RNAcentral's name for it is "cbr-miR-7581". Lineage: Eukaryota; Metazoa; Nematoda; Chromadorea; Rhabditida; Rhabditidae. The record is from miRBase by way of RNAcentral.